GGCCCAAAUGUGAAGUAGAGGAUCAGAAGGAUCAUCUGACCCUACUAAGCUACUCUACUUCGAGUUUGUGCCC
Non-coding RNA from Haemonchus placei, 73 nucleotides. NCBI's taxonomy places the organism in Eukaryota, Metazoa, Nematoda, Chromadorea, Rhabditida, Trichostrongylidae. The record is from Rfam.